CCAAACUUGGUCAUUUAGAGGAAGUAAAAGUCGUAACAAGGUUUCCGUAGGUGAACCUGCGGAAGGAUCAUUGCUGAUUGAUUGAUGUGGUGUGCUAUGCGCACCCUCAUAUAACCCACUGUGAACCUGAUUGUAUAUGUGGUCGCACAGGGACCUGUUGUUGAUUAUGCUGAUUGCUGUUAGCAAUGACUAGCAGUCUAGGCUGGACAAUGAUGGGAGAGCGGCCGCACAUUUUUACUAUGAACCUUUUUUUGCUAAAGACCAAUACUGUAUUUAAUACUAACUAUAAUACAACUUCCAACAAUGGAUCUCUUGGCUCCUGUACCGAUGAAGAACGCAGC
RNAcentral lists this unclassified non-coding RNA (341 nucleotides) under uncultured fungus. Its description in RNAcentral is "partial contains small subunit ribosomal RNA, internal transcribed spacer 1, and 5.8S ribosomal RNA". The stretch from base 1 to 73 matches the Rfam family "Eukaryotic small subunit ribosomal RNA", at positions 1759 to 1831 of the family's 1831-position model. The record is from RNAcentral. Lineage: Eukaryota; Fungi.